Molecule: unclassified non-coding RNA, 278 nt
Filed under: fungal sp.
Lineage: Eukaryota; Fungi
Description: partial internal transcribed spacer region
Rfam family: Eukaryotic small subunit ribosomal RNA (bases 1-46)
Source: RNAcentral
AAGUCGUAACAAGGUUUCCGUAGGUGAACCUGCGGAAGGAUCAUUAACGAGUUUACUGAGUUGUCGCUGCCCUCUCGGGGGGGAUGUGCACGCUCUUUCACUCAUCUAUACACCUGUGCACCUAUGCGAGUCAAUGGGGGAUUAGCGAAAGAGACCUGCAAAGGUUUCGACUAGCGUUCUCUGUCGGCUCGAUUUUUUAUAAACUCUUGUAUGUCUUAGAAUGUCUACUUUGCUUAACGCAAUAAAUACAACUUUCAACAACGGAUCUCUUGGCUCUC